GGGCGACGGUUGUCCCGGUUUAAGCGUGUAGGUGUGUGUUCCAGGUAAAUCCGGUUCACUUUAACACUGAGGCGUGAUGACGAGGCACUACGGUGCUGAAGCAACAAAUGCCCUGCUUCCAGGAAAAGCCUCUAAGCAUCAGGUAACAUCAAAUCGUACCCCAAACCGACACAGGUGGUCAGGUAGAGAAUACCAAGGCGCUUGAGAGAACUCGGGUGAAGGAACUAGGCAAAAUGGUGCCGUAACUUCGGGAGAAGGCACGCUGACACGUAGGUGAAGUGAUUUACUCAUGGAGCUGAAGUCAGUCGAAGAUACCAGCUGGCUGCAACUGUUUAUUAAAAACACAGCACUGUGCAAACACGAAAGUGGACGUAUACGGUGUGACGCCUGCCCGGUGCCGGAAGGUUAAUUGAUGGGGUCAGCGCAAGCGAAGCUCCUGAUCGAAGCCCCGGUAAACGGCGGCCGUAACUAUAACGGUCCUAAGGUAGCGAAAUUCCUUGUCGGGUAAGUUCCGACCUGCACGAAUGGCGUAAUGAUGGCCAGGCUGUCUCCACCCGAGACUCAGUGAAAUUGAACUCGCUGUGAAGAUGCAGUGUACCCGCGGCAAGACGGAAAGACCCCGUGAACCUUUACUAUAGCUUGACACUGAACAUUGAGCCUUGAUGUGUAGGAUAGGUGGGAGGCUUUGAAGCGUGGACGCCAGUCUGCAUGGAGCCGGCCUUGAAAUACCACCCUUUAAUGUUUGAUGUUCUAACGUGGACCCGUGAUCCGGGUUGCGGACAGUGUCUGGUGGGUAGUUUGACUGGGGCGGUCUCCUCCUAAAGAGUAACGGAGGAGCACGAAGGUUGGCUAAUCCUGGUCGGACAUCAGGAGGUUAGUGCAAUGGCAUAAGCCAGCUUGACUGCGAGCGUGACGGCGCGAGCAGGUGCGAAAGCAGGUCAUAGUGAUCCGGUGGUUCUGAAUGGAAGGGCCAUCGCUCAACGGAUAAAAGGUACUCCGGGGAUAACAGGCUGAUACCGCCCAAGAGUUCAUAUCGACGGCGGUGUUUGGCACCUCGAUGUCGGCUCAUCACAUCCUGGGGCUGAAGUAGGUCCCAAGGGUAUGGCUGUUCGCCAUUUAAAGUGGUACGCGAGCUGGGUUUAGAACGUCGUGAGACAGUUCGGUCCCUAUCUGCCGUGGGCGCUGGAGAACUGAGGGGGGCUGCUCCUAGUACGAGAGGACCGGAGUGGACGCAUCACUGGUGUUCGGGUUGUCAUGCCAAUGGCACUGCCCGGUAGCUAAAUGCGGAAGAGAUAAGUGCUGAAAGCAUCUAAGCACGAAACUUGCCCCGAGAUGAGUUCUCCCUGAGACUUAGAGUCUCCUGAAGGAACGUUGAAGACGACGACGUUGAUAGGCCGGGUGUGUAAGCGCAGCGAUGCGUUGAGCUAACCGGUACUAAUGAACCGUGAGGCUUAACCUU
Molecule: ribosomal RNA, 1459 nt
Filed under: Salmonella enterica subsp. enterica serovar Choleraesuis
Lineage: Bacteria; Pseudomonadati; Pseudomonadota; Gammaproteobacteria; Enterobacterales; Enterobacteriaceae
Description: partial 23S ribosomal RNA
Rfam family: Bacterial large subunit ribosomal RNA
Source: RNAcentral